This 208-nucleotide long non-coding RNA is filed under the name Spirodela polyrhiza (greater duckweed). Its description in RNAcentral is "long non-coding RNA (SPOL_LNC001169)". The record is from RNAcentral. Lineage: Eukaryota; Viridiplantae; Streptophyta; Magnoliopsida; Alismatales; Araceae.
GACAUGCCUAAAACUUUAAAUCUUUAUGAUGAUUUAUAAGUGAAAUAUUGUUGGAGCUAAGCCCUUAUAAUCAACUAUUGUAAUCAAAUGAUUAUAUUAGUGGAAUCUAAGAGCAUGGAGUGUUUUUAGAUAGUAGAUGUAACCUAGUGUUGAACCACUUUAAAAAUAAUGUGUCAACAUAUACAACCCAUCUUGACCUAUGCUUCAC